GACGAACCGUGCGAACGUUGUUCGGAAUCACUGGGCUUAAAGGGCGCGUAGGCGGCUUGCCAAGUCAGGGGUGAAAUCCAGCAGCUUAACUGUUGAAGUGCCUUUGAUACUGGCGAGCUCGAGGGAGGUAGGGGUAUGCGGAACUUCUGGUGGAGCGGUGAAAUGCGUUGAUAUCAGGAAGAACACCCGUGGCGAAGGCGGCUCUCUGGAACGCAACUGACGCUGAGACGCGAAAGCGUGGGGAGCAAACAGG
Molecule: ribosomal RNA, 253 nt
Filed under: uncultured bacterium
Lineage: Bacteria
Description: partial 16S ribosomal RNA
Rfam family: Bacterial small subunit ribosomal RNA
Source: RNAcentral